UAGAUAUUCAUCUGUGCACAGUUAGACAAACUGUCUAUAAAUGGAGAUGAUUUAGUACUAUAGGUACUCUCACUAGAAGUGGCCGUUAGAUAUUCAUCUGUCCACAGUUAGACAAACUGUCUAUAAAUGGAGAUGAUUUAGUACUAUAGGUACUCUCACUAGAAGUGGCCGUUAGAUAUUCAUCUGUCCACAGUUAGACAAACUGUCUAUAAAUGGAGAUGAUUUAGUACUAUAGGUACUCUCACUAGAAGUGGCCGUUAGAUAUUCAUCUGUCCACAGUUAGACAAACUGUCUAUAAAUGGAGAUGAUUUAGUACUAUAGGUACUCUCACUAGAAGUGGCCGUUAGAUAUUCAUCUGUCCACAGUUAGACAAACUGUCUAUAAAUGGAG
Molecule: long non-coding RNA, 390 nt
Organism: Xyrauchen texanus (razorback sucker)
Lineage: Eukaryota; Metazoa; Chordata; Actinopteri; Cypriniformes; Catostomidae
Exons: 3
Source: RefSeq, a predicted model, not a curated record